This 497-nucleotide ribosomal RNA is filed under the name uncultured bacterium. RNAcentral describes it as "partial 16S ribosomal RNA". It matches the Rfam family "Bacterial small subunit ribosomal RNA", at positions 28 to 507 of the family's 1533-position model. The record is from RNAcentral.
GAUGAACGCUGGCGGCGUGCCUAAUACAUGCAAGUCGAGCGAACAGACGAGGAGCUUGCUCCUCUGACGUUAGCGGCGGACGGGUGAGUAACACGUGGAUAACCUACCUAUAAGACUGGGAUAACUUCGGGAAACCGGAGCUAAUACCGGAUAAUAUAUUGAACCGCAUGGUUCAAUAGUGAAAGACGGUUUUGCUGUCACUUAUAGAUGGAUCCGCGCCGCAUUAGCUAGUUGGUAAGGUAACGGCUUACCAAGGCAACGAUGCGUAGCCGACCUGAGAGAGUGAUCGGCCACAAUGGAAUUGAGACACGGUCCAGACUCCUACGGGAGGCAGCAGUAGGGAAUCUUCCGCAAUGGGCGAAAGCAUGAAGGAGCAACGCCGCGUGAGUGAUGAAGGUCUUCGGAUCGUAAAACUCUGUUAUUAGGGAAGAACAAAUGUGUAAGUAAAUAUGCACGUCUUGACGGUACCUAAUCAGAAAGACACGGCUAACUACGUG